RNAcentral lists this ribosomal RNA (253 nucleotides) under uncultured bacterium. RNAcentral describes it as "partial 16S ribosomal RNA". It matches the Rfam family "Bacterial small subunit ribosomal RNA", at positions 524 to 776 of the family's 1533-position model. The record is from RNAcentral.
UACAGAGGUCUCAAGCGUUGUUCGGAUUCAUUGGGCGUAAAGGGUGCGUAGGCGGUUUGUCACGUCGGGAGUGAAAACUCAGGGCUUAACCCUGAGCCUGCUUCCGAUACGGGCAGACUAGAGGUAUGCAGGGGAGAAUGGAAUUCCUGGUGUAGCGGUGAAAUGCGCAGAUAUCAGGAGGAACACCGGUGGCGAAGGCGGUUCUCUGGGCAUUACCUGACGCUGAGGAGCGAAAGUGUGGGGAGCGAACAGG